CCUACGGGUGGCAGCAGUGAGGAAUAUUGGUCAAUGGGCGGAAGCCUGAACCAGCCAAGUCGCGUGAGGGAAUAAGGCCCUACGGGUCGUAAACCUCUUUUGCCGGGGAGCAAGGGCGGGGACGUGUCCCUGCCCGUAGAUUACCCGUGGAAAAAGCCUCGGCUAACUCCGUGCCAGCAGCCGCGGUCAUACGGGGGAUGCGAGCGUUCUCCGGAUUUAUUGGGUUAAAAGGUGGCGUAGGCGGGCUUUUAAGUCAGCGGUAAAAAUUCGGGGCUCAACCCCGUCCGGCCGUUGAAACUGGGGGCCUUGAGUGGGCGAGAAGAAGGCGGAAUGCGUGGUGUAGCGGUGAAAUGCAUAGAUAUCACGCAGAACCCCGAUUGCGAAGGCAGCCUGCCGGCGCCCGACUGACGCUGAGGCACGAAAGUGCGGGGAUCGAACAGGAUUAGAUACCCUUGUAGUC
This 460-nucleotide ribosomal RNA is filed under the name uncultured bacterium. RNAcentral describes it as "partial 16S ribosomal RNA". It matches the Rfam family "Bacterial small subunit ribosomal RNA", at positions 338 to 795 of the family's 1533-position model. The record is from RNAcentral.